UCUAAUGUGGCAGAUAAGUGCAAUGGAUUUAAGCUCCUUUUAUGAAUACUCCUUUUCCAUUAGAA
This 65-nucleotide transfer RNA is filed under the name Eucorydia linglong. RNAcentral describes it as "tRNA-Leu". The record is from RNAcentral. Lineage: Eukaryota; Metazoa; Arthropoda; Insecta; Blattodea; Corydiidae.